UUGAACGCUGGCGGCAGGCCUAACACAUGCAAGUCGAGCGGAUGAAGGGAGCUUGCUCCUGGAUUCAGCGGCGGACGGGUGCGUAAUGCCUAGGAAUCUGCCUGGUAGUGGGGGAUAACGUCCGGAAACGGGCGCUAAUACCGCAUACGUCCUGAGGGAGAAAGUGGGGGAUCUUCGGACCUCACGCUAUCAGAUGAGCCUAGGUCGGGUUAGCUAGUUGGUGGGGUAAAGGCCUACCAAGGCGACGAUCCGUAACUGGUCUGAGAGGAUGAUCAGUCACACUGGAACUGAGACACGGUCCAGACUCCUACGGGAGGCAGCAGUGGGGAAUAUUGGACAAUGGGCGAAAGCCUGAUCCAGCCAUGCCGCGUGUGUGAAGAAGGUCUUCGGAUUGUAAAGCACUUUAAGUUGGGAGGAAGGGCAGUAAGUUAAUACCUUGCUGUUUUGACGUUACCAACAGAAUAAGCACCGGCUAACUUCGUG
Molecule: ribosomal RNA, 483 nt
Filed under: uncultured bacterium
Lineage: Bacteria
Description: partial 16S ribosomal RNA
Rfam family: Bacterial small subunit ribosomal RNA
Source: RNAcentral